GACGAACGCUGGCGGCGUGCUUAACACAUGCAAGUCGAACGGAAAGGCCCUGCUUUUGUGGGGUGCUCGAGUGGCGAACGGGUGAGUAACACGUGAGUAACCUGCCCUUGACUUUGGGAUAACUUCAGGAAACUGGGGCUAAUACCGGAUAGGAGCUCCUGCUGCAUGGUGGGGGUUGGAAAGUUUCGGCGGUUGGGGAUGGACUCGCGGCUUAUCAGCUUGUUGGUGGGGUAGUGGCUUACCAAGGCUUUGACGGGUAGCCGGCCUGAGAGGGUGACCGGCCACAUUGGGACUGAGAUACGGCCCAGACUCCUACGGGAGGCAGCAGUGGGGAAUAUUGCACAAUGGGCGGAAGCCUGAUGCAGCAACGCCGCGUGCGGGAUGACGGCCUUCGGGUUGUAAACCGCUUUCGCCUGUGACGAAGCGUGAGUGACGGUAAUGGGUAAAGAAGCACCGGCUAACUACGUGCCAGCAGCCGCGGUGAUACGUAGGGUGCGAGCGUUGUCCGGAUUUAUUGGGCGUAAAGGGCUCGUAGGUGGUUGAUCGCGUCGGAAGUGUAAUCUUGGGGCUUAACCCUGAGCGUGCUUUCGAUACGGGUUGACUUGAGGAAGGUAGGGGAGAAUGGAAUUCCUGGUGGAGCGGUGGAAUGCGCAGAUAUCAGGAGGAACACCAGUGGCGAAGGCGGUUCUCUGGGCCUUUCCUGACACUGAGGAGCGAAAGCGUGGGGAGCGAACAGGCUUAGAUACCCUGGUAGUCCACGCUGUAAACGGUGGGUACUAGGUGUGGGGUCCAUUCCACGGGUUCCGUGCCGUAGCUAACGCUUUAAGUACCCCGCCUGGGGAGUACGGCCGCAAGGCUAAAACUCAAAGGAAUUGACGGGGCCCCGCACAAGCGGCGGAGCAUGCGGAUUAAUUCGAUGCAACGCGUAGAACCUUACCUGGGUUUGACAUGGAUCGGGAGUGCUCAGAGAUGGGUGUGCCUCUUUUGGGGUCGGUUCACAGGUGGUGCAUGGCUGUCGUCAGCUCGUGUCGUGAGAUGUUGGGUUAAGUCCCGCAACGAGCGCAACCCUUGUUCACUGUUGCCAGCACGUUAUGGUGGGGACUCAGUGGAGACCGCCGGGGUCAACUCGGAGGAAGGUGGGGAUGACGUCAAGUCAUCAUGCCCCUUAUGUCCAGGGCUUCACGCAUGCUACAAUGGCUGGUACAGAGAGUGGCGAGCCUGUGAGGGUGAGCGAAUCUCGGAAAGCCGGUCUCAGUUCGGAUUGGGGUCUGCAACUCGACCUCAUGAAGUCGGAGUCGCUAGUAAUCGCAGAUCAGCAACGCUGCGGUGAAUACGUUCCCGGGGCUUGUACACACCGCCCGUCAAGUCAUGAAAGUUGGUAACACCCGAAGCCGGUGGCCUAACCGUUGUGGGGGAGCCGUCGAAGGUGGG
This 1431-nucleotide ribosomal RNA is filed under the name uncultured organism. Its description in RNAcentral is "16S ribosomal RNA". It matches the Rfam family "Bacterial small subunit ribosomal RNA". The record is from RNAcentral.